Molecule: ribosomal RNA, 425 nt
Filed under: uncultured bacterium
Lineage: Bacteria
Description: partial 16S ribosomal RNA
Rfam family: Bacterial small subunit ribosomal RNA
Source: RNAcentral
GUUAGGAAUAUUGGACAAUGGGCGAAAGCCUGAUCCAGCCAUGCCGCGUGAACGAUGAAGGCCUUCGGGUUGUAAAGUUCUUUAGCCGAUGAUUAUAAUGACUGUAGUCGGAAAAUAAGCCCCGGCUAACUUCGUGCCAGCAGCCGCGGUAAUACGAAGGGGGCGAGCGUUAUUCGGAAUCACUGGGCGUAAAGCGUGCGUAGGCGGUUUUGUAAGUUAGGAGUGAAAGCCCAGGGCUCAACCUUGGAAUUGCUCUUAAAACUGCAAGGCUCGAAUCUCGGAGAGGAUAGCGGAAUUUCCAGUGUAGCAGUGAAAUGCGUAGAUAUUGGAAGGAACACCAGUGGCGUAAGCGGCUAUCUGGACGAGUAUUGACGCUGAGCCACGAAAGCGUGGGGAUCAAACAGGAUUAGAUACCCGGGUAGUCC